This 253-nucleotide ribosomal RNA is filed under the name uncultured bacterium. RNAcentral describes it as "partial 16S ribosomal RNA". It matches the Rfam family "Bacterial small subunit ribosomal RNA", at positions 524 to 776 of the family's 1533-position model. The record is from RNAcentral.
GACAGAGGAUGCAAGCGUUAUCCGGAAUGAUUGGGCGUAAAGAGCUCGUAGGCGGCUUGUCGCGUCGUUCGUGAAAACCCGGGGCUCAACUCCGGGCUUGCGGGCGAUACGGGCAGGCUAGAGUUCGGUAGGGGAGACUGGAAUUCCUGGUGUAGCGGUGAAAUGCGCAGAUAUCAGGAGGAACACCGAUGGCGAAGGCAGGUCUCUGGGCAUUAACUGACGCUGAGGAGCGAAAGCAUGGGGAGCGAACAGG